CAGUAGCCACGGGAAUACGAAGGGGGCUAGCGUUGUUCGGAUUUACUUGGCGUAAAGCGCACGUAGGCGGACUUUUAAGUCAGGGGUGAAAUCCCGGGGCUCAACCCCGGAACUGCCUUUGAUACUGGAAGUCUUGAGUAUGGUAGAGGUGAGUGGAAUUCCGAGUGUAGAGGUGAAAUUCGUAGAUAUUCGGAGGAACACCAGUGGCGAAGGCGGCUCACUGGACCAUUACUGACGCUGAGGUGCGAAAGCGUGGGGAGCAAACAGGAUUAGAUACCCCGGUAGUCCCUGUCUCUUAUAC
RNAcentral lists this ribosomal RNA (301 nucleotides) under uncultured bacterium. RNAcentral's name for it is "partial 16S ribosomal RNA". It matches the Rfam family "Bacterial small subunit ribosomal RNA", at positions 509 to 807 of the family's 1533-position model. The record is from RNAcentral.